CAGCCGCCGCGGGAAUACGUAGGUGGCAAGCGUUAUCCGGAAUUAUUGGGCGUAAAGCGCGCGUAGGCGGUUUUUUAAGUCUGAUGUGAAAGCCCACGGCUCAACCGUGGAGGGUCAUUGGAAACUGGAAAACUUGAGUGCAGAAGAGGAAAGUGGAAUUCCAUGUGUAGCGGUGAAAUGCGCAGAGAUAUGGAGGAACACCAGUGGCGGAGGCGACUUUCUGGUCUGUAACUGACGCUGAUGUGCGAAAGCGUGGGGAUCAAACAGGAUUAGAUACCCCUGUAGUCCCUGUCUCUUAUAC
RNAcentral lists this ribosomal RNA (301 nucleotides) under uncultured bacterium. RNAcentral describes it as "partial 16S ribosomal RNA". It matches the Rfam family "Bacterial small subunit ribosomal RNA", at positions 509 to 807 of the family's 1533-position model. The record is from RNAcentral.